Molecule: unclassified non-coding RNA, 374 nt
Filed under: soil metagenome
Description: partial contains internal transcribed spacer 2 and large subunit ribosomal RNA
Rfam family: 5.8S ribosomal RNA (bases 1-120)
Source: RNAcentral
GAUGAAGAACGUAGCGAAAUGCGAUAAUUAAUGUGAAUUGCAGAAUUCCGUGAAUCAUCGAGUCUUUGAACGCACAUUGCGCCUCAUGGCAUUCCGUGAGGCAUGCCCAUCUCAGCGUUAGAGAAUAUUCUCAAAUUUUAGUUUUGUGCUAAAAUUUGGAUCAUGUCAAGGAAGCUAUUACUAUUAUUGUGAUCGCUCUUUGGAAAUUGAUAGGUCUUUGAGUUGCUACUCAUAGAACGUGAUGAAUCUUUCUUCGUUCUAUUGUAAUUCACUCUGGUAGUCCUAAAAGUUGUAUGCCUGUGGCAUAUCUUGUAAUUUGACCUGAGAUUGGGUAGGGAUACCCGCUGAACUUAAGCAUAUCAAUAAGCGGAGGA